GCAGUCGAGCGGAGAGAGGUAGCUUGCUACUGAUCUUAGCGGCGGACGGGUGAGUAAUGCUUAGGAAUCUGCCUAUUAGUGGGGGACAACAUUUCGAAAGGAAUGCUAAUACCGCAUACGUCCUACGGGAGAAAGCAGGGGAUCUUCGGACCUUGCGCUAAUAGAUGAGCCUAAGUCGGAUUAGCUAGUUGGUGGGGUAAAGGCCUACCAAGGCGACGAUCUGUAGCGGGUCUGAGAGGAUGAUCCGCCACACUGGGACUGAGACACGGCCCAGACUCCUACGGGAGGCAGCAGUGGGGAAUAUUGGACAAUGGGCGCAAGCCUGAUCCAGCCAUGCCGCGUGUGUGAAGAAGGCCUUAUGGUUGUAAAGCACUUUAAGCGAGGAGGAGGCUACUUUAGUUAAUACCUAGAGAUAGUGGACGUUACUCGCAGAAUAAGCACCGGCUAACUCUGUGCCAGCAGCCGCGGUAAUACAGAGGGUGCAAGCGUUAAUCGGAUUUACUGGGCGUAAAGCGCGCGUAGGCGGCUAAUUAAGUCAAAUGUGAAAUCCCCGAGCUUAACUUGGGAAUUGCAUUCGAUACUGGUUAGCUAGAGUGUGGGAGAGGAUGGUAGAAUUCCAGGUGUAGCGGUGAAAUGCGUAGAGAUCUGGAGGAAUACCGAUGGCGAAGGCAGCCAUCUGGCCUACACUGACGCUGAGGUGCGAAGCAUGGGGAGCAACAGGAUAGAUACCUGGUAGUCAUGCCGUAACGAGUCUACUAGCCGUGGGGCCUUGAGC
This 775-nucleotide ribosomal RNA is filed under the name uncultured bacterium. RNAcentral describes it as "bacterial SSU rRNA". It matches the Rfam family "Bacterial small subunit ribosomal RNA", at positions 57 to 835 of the family's 1533-position model. The record is from RNAcentral.